RNAcentral lists this non-coding RNA (27 nucleotides) under Bombyx mori (domestic silkworm). Lineage: Eukaryota; Metazoa; Arthropoda; Insecta; Lepidoptera; Bombycidae. The record is from RNAcentral.
UGACUUGAUUGCCGGAUCUGUACCAGU